RNAcentral lists this ribosomal RNA (198 nucleotides) under Capronia sp. RNAcentral's name for it is "partial large subunit ribosomal RNA". It matches the Rfam family "Eukaryotic large subunit ribosomal RNA", at positions 82 to 279 of the family's 3401-position model. The record is from RNAcentral. Lineage: Eukaryota; Fungi; Ascomycota; Eurotiomycetes; Chaetothyriales; Herpotrichiellaceae.
AGUAACGGCGAGUGAAGCGGUAACAGCUCAAAUUUGAAAUCUGACCUUCACGGGUCCGAGUUGUAAUUUGUAGAGGAUGUUUCGGAUAGGCUUUGGUUUAAGUUUCUUGGAACAGAACGUCAUAGAGGGUGAGAGUCCCGUCUAGACCCUAUAGCCGCGUCCAUGUGAAGCUCCUUCGACGAGUCGAGUUGUUUGGGA